This 205-nucleotide unclassified non-coding RNA is filed under the name Hevea brasiliensis (rubber tree). Lineage: Eukaryota; Viridiplantae; Streptophyta; Magnoliopsida; Malpighiales; Euphorbiaceae. The record is from RNAcentral.
CUAAAAAUGAUCAGAAACCUCACGUGAUAUCCUUGUUGUCAUAGUCUCAGACAUACAAAUAAUGAAAUCAACAUCAACACCAACAAUAUUCCUUUCCACUACAUUGUAAUUUUUCCCUGGACAUUGUAAUCAAGUUAGUGAAUGACCAUGUCCCCACGCCAGCUAUCAAUGUGACCUGAUCUAACUAGAUCCAACAAUGAUAUUA